Molecule: ribosomal RNA, 408 nt
Filed under: uncultured bacterium
Lineage: Bacteria
Description: partial 16S ribosomal RNA
Rfam family: Bacterial small subunit ribosomal RNA
Source: RNAcentral
GACGAACGCUGGCGGCGUGCUUAACACAUGCAAGUCGAACGGAGUGGCGAACGGGUGAGUAACACGUGGGUGAUCUGCCUUGCACUUCGGGAUAAGCUUGGGAAACGGGGGCCAAAACCGGAUAGUGCAAGAUGAGCUCGCGGCUUAUAAGCUUGUUGGUGGGGUAAUGGCCUACCAAGGCGUCGACGGGUAGCCGGGCUGGGAGGGUGUACGGCCACAUUGGGACUUAGAUACGGCCCAGACUCCUACGGGAGGCAGCUGUGGGGAAUAUUGCACAAUGGGCGGAAGCCUGAUGCAGCGGCGCCGCGUGGGGGAUGAAGGCCUUCGGGUUGUAAACUCCUUUCGACCGGGACGCGGUACCUGUAUAAGAAGCACCGGCUAACUACGUGCCAGCAGCCGCGGUAAUUC